GCAGUAGCCGCGGUAAUACGAGGGGUGCAAGCGUUAUUCGGAUUGAUUGGGUGUAAAGGGUGUGCAGACGGCUUAUUAAGUCACUUGUUAAAUUCUUCGGCCUAACUGAAGGUCUGCAAAUGAUACUGAUGAGCUAGAGGGUGGAAGAGAGAAGUGGGAUUCUCGGAGUAGCGGUAAAAUGCGUAGAUCUCGAGAGGAACACCAAUGGCGAAGGCAGCUUCUUGGUCCAUUCCUGACGUUCAUACACGAAAGCGUGGGGAGCAAACAGGAUUAGAUACCCCUGUAGUCCCUGUCUCUUAUAC
RNAcentral lists this ribosomal RNA (302 nucleotides) under uncultured bacterium. Its description in RNAcentral is "partial 16S ribosomal RNA". It matches the Rfam family "Bacterial small subunit ribosomal RNA", at positions 508 to 807 of the family's 1533-position model. The record is from RNAcentral.